This is a long non-coding RNA of Entelurus aequoreus (snake pipefish), 5642 nucleotides long. RefSeq lists it as uncharacterized. The record is from RefSeq and is a predicted model, not a curated record. NCBI's taxonomy places the organism in Eukaryota, Metazoa, Chordata, Actinopteri, Syngnathiformes, Syngnathidae. The transcript is spliced from 3 exons.
AGUGCUGCAAAGGGUUCUGUGUAUUUAUUCUGUUGUGUUUAUGUAGGGGACAGCGUGGCGAAGUUGGGAGAGUGGCCGUGCCAGCAAUCUGAGGGUUACUGGUUCAAUCCCCACCUUCUACCAUCCUAGUCACGUCUGUUGUGUCCUUGAGCAAGACACUUCACCCUUGCUCCUGAUGGGCCUGGUUAGCGCCGUGCACGGCAGCUCCCGCUAUCAGUGUGUGAAUGUGUGUGUGUGUGAAUGGGUGAAUGUGGAAAAUAGUGUCAAAGCGCUUUGAGUUCCUUAAAAAGGUAGAAAAGCGCUAUACAAGUACAACCCAUUUACCAUUUACCAUGUUGUGUUACAGUGCGGAUGUUCUCCCGAAAUGUGUUUGUCAUUCUUGUUUGGUGUGGGUUCACAGUGUGGCGUAUAUUUCUAACAGUGUAAGUUGUUUACACGGACACCCUCAGUGUAACCUGUAUCGCUGUUGAUCAAGUAUGCAUUGAAUUCACUUGUGUGUGCGUGCAGAAGCCGCACAUAUUAUGUGACUGGGCCAGCACUCGUUGGACUGGAUGAAAAGCAGAUGCGACGAUUUUCGGGAGGGGCACUGAAAUUUGGGAGUCUCCCGGGAGGGUUGGCAAGUAUGAGAAUUAGCGGUGAAUGCGGUGUUACCGCGGCACCGCCGCUGUAUAUAAUCGGCGGGCCAGCUCUAGUGUUAAUUUGAUAUCGCCUCAAGGGCCAAGUGAAAUUACAUGGCGGGCCAAUUUUGGCCCGCGGCCAGAGUUUGACACCCAUGCUCUAGAACUACAACGAAUGUUUAACAAUGUGUAUUUCCGCGUUUUGGCAGAAUUGUCACAUUCCUGGAAAACAAACCAUGGAGGCAUGGCGAAGAUAUUUAUAAAACAAUCUUGCCUUCCUUCAUACUUCCUUCAAACGAAUCGUUCGGAAUUUUCCCCAGUUGUGACGUUUUUCCCAUUGGUGAUGGCAGCGGAUUUUCCCACAUAGGUUACAGGUUUACCCCAAGACCUUUGUGUGAGUCCGCCAUGGUACUCCGACGCUGUAGUCAAUAAGUUCCUUCUUUUUCUCUAUCGUCUUGCUGUGGGGCAGACUAUACCAUACAUUCACAUGGAUCCUCCGCUAUUGCCAUUUCUAAUACAAAGUAACAGUUCUAUCUUGAAGAUGGUCUGUAAAACAUCAUCUAUGCAAACUUUUUACCAAAGAACCAUAAUUACUAAAAGGAAGUAUUUUAAAUGUAGAAAAAAAAUCAUCAUAUGACCCCAUUAAAUAGCAAAUUAAUUGUUUGUUAUCCUUCCAUCCAUUUUCUAUAAUGCUUAUCUUAAUUAGGGUUAUGGGGAAGCUGGAGCCUAUUCCAGCUGACUUGGGGCAAGAGGCGGGGAAUGCCCUAGACUGGUCGCCAGCCAGUCAUUCAUACCUAUGGACAAUUUACAGUGUUCAAUUAACCUACAACAUAUAUAUUUUUGUAAUGUUGGGGGGAAGCCUUAGUACCGGGAAGAACAUGCAAACUCUAACCAGAGAUGUCCAAACGCAGAUUCAAACCCAGAUCUCCUGACUGUGUGGCCUACACUAAACUAAAAAGGCCAAGUCAUACCAAAGACUAUAAAAAUGGGACCCGUUACCUCCCUACUUGGCACUCAGCAUCAAGGGUUGGAAUUGGGGGUUAAAUCACCAAAAAUGAUUCCCGGGCGUGGCCACUGCUGCUGCUCACUGCUCCCCUCACCUCCCAGGGGGUGAUCAAGGGUGAUGGGUCAAAUGCAGAGAAUAAUUUCGCCACACCUAGUGUGUGUGACAAUCAUUGGUACUUUAACUUUAACUUUAAAUGCUAACCACUAGGCCACUGUGCAGCCCCUUUUUUUUUAAAAUAUAUAAUUUACACAACCUUUUCUAGCAAAAAAAAGCUUUGACAAGGAAGUGUUGUGUACAAUACUGUCUACUGUAUGCCUGUAAUUGUUUCUUCAUGAGUAAAACUGCGUGGCAAAAAACAGGAAUUUUUAGGACUUUUUAUGGUUGCGUUUAGGGAUGUAACGGUAUCAAAAUCUCAUAUUAUCACGGUAUUAAGGCUCCGGUACGAUAUUAUUGUAGUAUUUUUUUUUUUUAAAAAGGCUUAAAAAUGUUUUAGUGUGUAAAAUAAAGUGUCAAGAAUGUUUAGGAUAAACACACUUACUGUAAUUGAACACAAAUAUGAUGUUCAAAUCUUCUAAUCAUAUUUAUUACUACAUAUAUGUAUUUUUAAGUGCAAAUAAUUGAGCAGGGACAUUCACUGUUUCAAGCAAAUAUUAAAAAAAUAACCUUACAGUUUCAUGUCUUUAAAGUGACAAUGUAAACAUCCAGUGGAACAAGUGUAAAACAAUAAUGUUCACUUUAGUGUAUUUCAACUUUUAAUUUCUGAGAAGUACUGUCCUCCACAGUGGACAUGUUUAUAUCAGUCUGGAAUAUGCUGUUUUUAAGAAAAGUUUUCUAACAAUACAACUUUUAAUUAUGUAAAUACCUCAGAAACUGAUGUUUGGCUUCGCUGGCUUCAAAUAUCUUUUCUGGCUGACAGUUUAUGAAGUGGCGACUUGUCCAGGGUGUACCCUGCCUUCCCCCUUAGUGCAGAUAGACUUCAGCCCCCCACGACAUCGAGAGAGACAAGCGGUGGGAAAAUGGAUUGAGGAUUCAUCAAGUAGUUUUUCAGUUUACUCAUAUUUCACGCAUGAAACAUUAUUUGGGGGGUGAUUUCGCUCCGUGCAGUGCGAUAGGACCGGCUGGCUCUGUGUCGCUUUAGAAACGCUCGGGACAAACAUGACGUGCUUUGCUUUGCAGAACGCAGACUUUCUUACCUCUGCCAAAGAGAUUAUGUUUUUGCCAGACUUUGUCUGUGUGUUAGCAACAUAACUCAAAUAGUUAUGGAUGGACUUUGAUGAAAAUUUUCAGGAAAUGUCCAAAAAAACAAUUUCUCUCAUCUACUACGAACACUUAUCUUCCUGUUUACGACGUUUCACGCCCCCACCUUCCCGCCCCGCACUGCACAGAGAAUUCUAGGGGAGGUAGUUUAUUUUCAGAACCAGGCCAAGGCAAAAGCGCAAGAAAAAAACUACACACCAAGUUUUUGUCUGAUAAAGUCACGCGUCACGUCAUUAUUGUGAAGACUUUGAAACCAAAAUACUGCGGUAUCUACAAUGCCGUUACGCCCCUAGUUGCUUUCAUUAUUUGCAGACAUCUACUGUCUUCUUCUUACCCAUUUCCAGAUAUUCAUAGAAGAGUCCCAGAUUGGACAUGGGUUGCAGUUGGUAGUCUUGCUCCCAACGAGGAAUCACUUUCUGUGACGCUGUGCCCCUGCAAUAGCGUAAAAUCAAGUUUUUCACCCACCUGCACACACACACACACAUGCAUACACAGAUGGCUUUUCCGCCCAUGAUGAUGGACAGUUGCGUGGUCAGUUCAAUCAAACAACCACCAGGAUCACACUGGAACAAGAAAAAGAAGAAAGUGAAGCAUAAUUCAUGUGCUCCAAGCGGAGGAUCGACCACACUCUACCUCCUCGUUGCGGUAUUUUCCCAAGAGCAGCUCACCAAAGUUGGUGAUCCAGAUGGCCACCCUCUCGUAAAGCAUGUUGAGGAUCAUGAUGACCACGAAGCUGAUGAGGGAGGCCGUAACCGAGGUGGCCAUCUGCGGCGUCACAUACUCCUUGAGAGGCUCCAGCUCCUUCAGGUCCUGAGCUCUCAGCCUGGCCGAGAAGGCAAAGAAGGCGGCCAAGCGGUACACGGUGAUGGCCACGAUGGAGGCCACAAUCAGCAAGAUCUGACAUAGUAUAAGAAAUAUUAUUCAAUAUGUACUAAUAGGCUCCAGCACCCCCGCGACCCCGUAAGGGAAAAGCAGUAGAAAAUGGAUGGAUGGAUGUACUAAUUUUGUUGGACAUGUAAUGAAUGGCAUUACCCAGAAUAACACGGUCCCUAUUCCUAUUGACACCCGAACGCAUCGUCCGCAGGUUGUGUAAGGCACUUUUUCUUUCACCUGAAAACACAACAGAGCUGGUAAACGCUGAGAGAAGACGCUUUGCCAGCAAGAAAUUAAGCAAUAAGAUUCACCCCCGUGACCGGGUUUUUCCUCUCGUAGAUACACUUGGCUUCAUAUUCAGGUCGGGCUGUCUCCUGCUGCUCCAGGAACUCCACAGUGUCCCACUGGUACUCCAGCUCAGCCUGGUAGCGCUUCCAAAAUUCCAGGAAUAGUGUUACUGCAGCGAGGAGAUGAGCGUAAAUAGAAGUACUCGGAUAUGGAGCUUAAAAUAAACCACUGAAGCAUGGAUGACUUACCCCAGAUUGACAUGAAAACUGCAAAAACCAGAGUGCCAAAGUUGUCAAAUAUGCACAGUUUCUACAACAAAAAAUACAAUUGUGUUUUAGCCUGCUUGUAUUGAAAUCCCUCUUCAGGUCAUGUCAGGAAAUAACUUGUUUCAACGUGUAAAGUCUGUGCAAUAGGAGAUUUUCACAAUAGAAAGUGGUUUCAUCUGCACGGUAAAAGGUGUCUAUAUAUACAUAACCAGCAGAGAGCACUAGCUUACAUAUCAGUUCAGUCAACAUUUCCCAGCAAGGCUAUGCUUUGACAAGAAAUGAUGUUGUGUAACUGCACGUUUUCCAAGUACCGUAUUAUAUAUAAGCUCUAUUUAUCUUCAAUAAUGGAAUAAACUGAAUUUAAAGUGUGUUUAAUACUGUGAGAAACAUAUUAUAGCAUUUGGAGUAGGGGUGUGUGUUACGAAAUCUGGUGUCACAAAAUCUUGCGAGAUUAUAAAAUGACAAUGUUUCACGUUUGGAGAAACGCUGUAUCGUGGGCAGAACACAGCCAGAAGUUGUCUUUUUUAUAGUCUGAUCAUGCAUAUCUGGCUGGGACUGGAACCACACAAUUAGUGCUUUGCACACACUACAAACCGAGAGCGAGCAAACGCAGCUAGUGUUGGCGUUCCCCUCAGCCAGACGUGCUCUAAAGGCAUGGCAGGGGAGGCGUGUGGCCGCUCUCCUUUCUUUGAGUUCCACAGCCAACAAGCUGAGUGUCUGUCCAAACGGAAGCAGCUAAAAUGUCAAUCAUAGAAACAAUGACAGAAAAUAAUACAUGAAUCAUUUUAAAGACCCCGGAAAGCAGUUUUCAAAAGGCCUAUUGUAGGCCCGCGAGUGCCCCCUCUAGGACCACCCAAAAAUAUCUGUUUCUCAGCUAUGGUCGCAGUGGUACUCAGUUGUAAUACACUUUUCCACCACUUGUGACAGUAAUGACAAUAUUAAACAAACAGAAGAAGUCUAGAGCUAAAGUCAUUAAGAAGUUUUUUAAGCGCAAAAUUAUGACUAAAGUGGUGAAGCUGUAUUUUUAUUUACAUUUUAAUUUUAUUGACAGUUUUGUUAAAAACGUAUUUAUUCUUGAUUUAAUAUAGCACAACAUUAUUGUACAUAAAUGUAUUUUUUGUCAGUUAGUCCCUUCAUACGCAGUGUAUUUGGUUAGUACUUAUUUUUCUAAUCACUGACCUAAGCCUAAAGUUUAAGAGUUAAAUAAAUAAUAGUAUUUGUAAUUAACACACAGUUUCAUAUCAUUUGACAAGGUUGUAAACUGAAAGUUGGUUAGAUGUAGUUAUUGAAUACAAUUAAAAUCUUGAGUAACAUGACUAAUCAGGACUCCUCUUC